ACAACACAACACACGAGCAGAGUGAAGAGAAGAUGUGGAGGUUCCACAAUACUAUAGAACAUUUCUGUUGUGAUCUGAGAAAUAUACUAAGCUAUUAGAAAACGAUCUAACAUGAUCAAAUAUGAAGAGAGCUGAACUUAAAGCAGUGAUGAUGGUGAGGUUUAUAAGCUGUUGUGCUCAGAACAAAUUUGAUUUGACUUCCUCUACUUGAUGAAGGAAGAGCUUUUUUUGUCUUCCUGUCUCUGCUUUAGAUUCAUCUUCAGUGUUGUGUGGAAGAAAACACGACAACAAGAUGAAGAUCAUUCCGCUUCAGUUCUAUGUAUUAAUCUGUUGUCAAGCUGCAGUUUCAGAUCUACUGACUGAUCUGGGAUCAAAUGUGACCAUAAACUGUGAUCUUGAUGAAAAUGAGGUUUAUUGGAUUUUACUGAAAACACCAGAUCCUCCGACACUGAUUCUACGAUCAUUAUACAACAUACAACAUACGACACAGAUACCUCCUCAUUACUAUAAUAAAACAUUCAGAAACAAAUAUUCAGUGCAGUUUAAACAUCGUCUGGUUAUUAAUAAUGUGACUGCUGAUGAAUUAGGAGUUUAUUACUGUAUGAACACACGCACUCCUCCAAAACUCAGCAACAGCACCAGAAUAUACUUCACCGAACCGUUUCAUCAAACUGAGUGUCACAAUCAUACAGUUCUGCAGAUUAUUGAUCAGAAUCAGACACAGUGGCAGAUUAUUAUCAUCAUAUCUGCUCUGAUGAAUGGACUUCUGAUCAUUGUGGUGAUUGGUUUAUUGAAAUGUUCUGCAGAACAAUCCCGACUCGAAGCUGAUCAGCAUCAGACACAAGAUACAGAACAACAUCAGGAGCAUUUACACUUCAAAACAUGUGAAUCCAGCCUCAUUACUAAAAUUCAUUUCUGUCUUGAUAAUUAUUGAGGAUUCUUGUUGACCUGUAAAUUAGCGUUC
Carassius auratus (goldfish) is the source of this 964-nucleotide long non-coding RNA. RefSeq lists it as uncharacterized. Lineage: Eukaryota; Metazoa; Chordata; Actinopteri; Cypriniformes; Cyprinidae. The transcript has 4 exons. The record is from RefSeq and is a predicted model, not a curated record.